This 497-nucleotide ribosomal RNA is filed under the name uncultured bacterium. RNAcentral's name for it is "partial 16S ribosomal RNA". It matches the Rfam family "Bacterial small subunit ribosomal RNA", at positions 28 to 507 of the family's 1533-position model. The record is from RNAcentral.
GAUGAACGCUGGCGGCGUGCCUAAUACAUGCAAGUCGAGCGAACGGACGAGAAGCUUGCUUCUCUGAUGUUAGCGGCGGACGGGUGAGUAACACGUGGAUAACCUACCUAUAAGACGGGGAUAACUUCGGGAAACCGGAGCUAAUACCGGAUAAUAUUUUGAACCGCAUUGUUCAAAAGUGAAAGACGGUCUUGCUGUCACUAAUAGAUGGAUCCGCGCUGCAUUAGCUAGUUGUUAAGGUAACGGCUUACCAAGGCAACGAUGCAUAGCCGACCUGAGAGGGUGAUCGGCCACACUGGAACUGAGACACGGUCCAGACUCCUACGGGAGGCAGCAGUAGGGAAUCUUCCGCAAUGGGCGAAAGCAUGACGGAGCAACGCCGCGUGAGUGAUGAAGGUCUUCGGAUCGUAAAACUCUGUUAUUAGGGAAGAACAUAUGUGUAAGUAACUGUGCACAUCUUGACGGUAACUAAUCAGAAAGCAACGGCUAACUACGUG